UAUCUCUGUUGAAAUUAACAU
RNAcentral lists this non-coding RNA (21 nucleotides) under Caenorhabditis elegans. The record is from RNAcentral. Lineage: Eukaryota; Metazoa; Nematoda; Chromadorea; Rhabditida; Rhabditidae.